Molecule: long non-coding RNA, 1388 nt
Filed under: Olea europaea subsp. europaea
Lineage: Eukaryota; Viridiplantae; Streptophyta; Magnoliopsida; Lamiales; Oleaceae
Source: RNAcentral
CAACAGUUAACUCCUUCGAAGAUAUGGAACUCUGAACUCAAAUUUUUUUAAUUCCUAAAAAUGGCGGCAGUAACUUCUCUUUCUUUCAGUUCGAUAAGUCAGUCCAAGUUUUCAAUUCCUUUACCGCGUAAUUUGGCUUUCAAUUUCGAUGCUUUUAAGUUUCGAAGCACGAUUUCAUCUCUCGAUUCGUUUAAUCUCCGAGUUUCGACGAGUUCUCGUGUUGUAAUUCAUUGCAUCUCAACUUCCACAGGCAAGUUUUAGGUCAUUGCGGAAUUAUCGUAGAUUUUGUGGGGGAAAAAAUGUGAUCUUUUCGAUUUAAGUACGGCUUUAAUUUUUGGAGGAAGGUAGAAAUUCUAGUGAUCUCAAUACAAUAUUAACCUUAUUAUUUGCUUAAUUCUAUUGUUAAUUGAACUGUUUUCUUCUUUGAAUUUUCACUUAUUGAAUCGAUACUGGUUAGUAGUCUUUUAAGCCUAAAUUUUUGUGCCUUUGCAUUAUCAAUUUAGUGGUUCAAUUUAGUAGUUUCUGUUAGUGAAAUGACAAUUUCAGAUUGCGGCAAUUGAAACCAAUCUUUUGAUUGGCUACAACAAUUAGGUGUAAUUUAUGCUCGUCUACUCAUUCCCUGCACUAAUAAGAUAGAUACGGUGCAAUGGGAUUGUUUAUUGAAGGAUGACAUUUCUAGAUUUUUAUAAUUAAACUGAUUUGAUCCAGACCCCAUAAUUCAGUUUUCCCCUUGAAAAUAUGUGUUUUUACUUCAUUUACUGAUUCUAUUCUGGAUAAUAAACUCCCGUUAUUUCCUUCGGAUGCUCAUUGGUUUCAGAUGUACCUACUGUGUGUGAGACGAAGCUAAAUUUCCUGAAGGCAUAUAAGAAGCCGGUUCCAAGUAUAUACAACACUGUAUUGCAAGAGCUGAUAGUACAACAACAUUUGAUGCACGAAAGUUAGAAAAAUGGGCCCGUUCUCAGAGUGCUAGUACUUUAGUCGAUUUUGCAUCAAGGGAAGGAGAAGUUGCAGCUGCCUAAAAGGACAUCGCAGAAAGAGCAGGGAACAAAGGAAGUUUCAGCUACAGUCGAUUCUUUACUGUUGGUCUCUUCCGGCUGCUAGAGUUAGCAAAUGCAACAGAACCCAGUAUCUUAUAAAAGGUAAAAAAAUAAAAAAUAAAAAAAUAAAUAAAAAUUCUCCUUUCAUGUUACGAGACUUUCCUUAUUCUGAAGCCUCGUGUAAGAGUGCAAAUUUUGCUAUUUUAGUUUAUAUACUCCAUUGUGAGCAUCUGUACAAGGGAUAUUAUAACUUACAUCAGUAUGGAUACAAUGUCGAUAGAAUGGCUAGGCAGUUUUAGUCUCUUUUGAGGCCUGGAGUGCAGGUUUAUUUGUCCAUGCUGCAGCUUGUAG